RNAcentral lists this ribosomal RNA (348 nucleotides) under uncultured bacterium. Its description in RNAcentral is "partial 16S ribosomal RNA". It matches the Rfam family "Bacterial small subunit ribosomal RNA", at positions 338 to 683 of the family's 1533-position model. The record is from RNAcentral.
CCUACGGGGGGCAGCAGUGAGGAAUAUUGGUCAAUGGACGAGAGUCUGAACCAGCCAAGUAGCGUGAAGGAUGAAUGCCCUAUGGGUUGUAAACUUCUUUUAUAAGGGAAUAAAAUGUGGCACGUGUGGGAUUUUGUAUGUACCAUAUGAAUAAGGAUCGGCUAACUCCGUGCCAGCAGCCGCGGUAAUACGGAGGAUCCGAGCGUUAUCCGGAUUUAUUGGGGUUAAAGGGCGCGUCGGUGGCUUGUUAAGUCAGUUGUGAAAGUUUGCGGCUCAACCGUAAAAUUGCCGUUGAAACUGGCAGUCUUGAGUACAGUAGAGGUGUGCGGAAUUCGUGGUGUAGCUGUG